GAUGAACGCUGGCGGCGUGCCUAAUACAUGCAAGUCGAGCGAACAGACGAGGAGCUUGCUCCUCUGACGUUAGCGGCGGACGGGUGAGUAACACGUGGAUAACCUACCUAUAAGACUGGGAUAACUUCGGGAAACCGGAGCUAAUACCGGAUAAUAUAUUGAACCGCAUGGUUCAAUAGUGAAAGACGGUUUUGCUGUCACUUAUAGAUGGAUCCGCGCCGCAUUAGCUAGUUGGUAAGGUAACGGCUUACCAAGGCAACGAUGCGUAGCCGACCUGAGAGAGUGAUCGGCCACACUGGAACUGAGACACGGUCCAGACUCCUACGGGAGGCAGCAGUAGGGAAUCUUCCGCAAUGGGCGAAAGCCUGACGGAGCAACGCCGCGUGAGUGAUGAAGGUCUUCGGAUCGUAAAACUCUGUUAUUAGGGAAGAACAAAUGUGUAAGUAACUAUGCACGUCUUGACGGUACCUAAUAAGAAAGCCACGGCUAACUACGUG
Molecule: ribosomal RNA, 497 nt
Filed under: uncultured bacterium
Lineage: Bacteria
Description: partial 16S ribosomal RNA
Rfam family: Bacterial small subunit ribosomal RNA
Source: RNAcentral